Molecule: transfer RNA, 93 nt
Filed under: Komagataeibacter diospyri
Lineage: Bacteria; Pseudomonadati; Pseudomonadota; Alphaproteobacteria; Acetobacterales; Acetobacteraceae
Description: tRNA-Ser
Rfam family: tRNA
About the family: Transfer RNA (tRNA) molecules are approximately 80 nucleotides in length. Their secondary structure includes four short double-helical elements and three loops (D, anti-codon, and T loops).
Source: RNAcentral
GGAGGGGUGGCCGAGUGGCUGAAGGCGGCGGUUUGCUAAACCGUUAUAGCAUGUUAAGUGCUAUCGUGGGUUCGAAUCCCAUCCCCUCCGCCA